RNAcentral lists this ribosomal RNA (460 nucleotides) under uncultured bacterium. RNAcentral describes it as "bacterial SSU rRNA". It matches the Rfam family "Bacterial small subunit ribosomal RNA", at positions 335 to 795 of the family's 1533-position model. The record is from RNAcentral.
UGUCCUACGGGAGGCAGCAGUGAGGAAUUUUGGUCAAUGGGGGAAACCCUGAACCAGCGACGCCGCGUGUGGGAUGAAGGGGCUCUGCCCUGUAAACCACUGUUGAGAGGGAAGAAAAGCUUUUUAAAAAGCUGGGACUGUACCUCUUUAGAAAGGAUCGGCUAACUACGUGCCAGCAGCCGCGGUAAUACGUAGGAUCCAAGCGUUGUCCGGAAUCACUGGGUAUAAAGGGUGCGUAGGCGGGCUUGUGCGUUAGAGGUUAAAUCCCCCGGCUCAACUGUGGAGCUGCCUUUGAUACGGCAAGUCUUGAGUGUGAGAGAGGAUGGUAGAAUUCCUGGUGUAGCGGUGAAAUGCGUAGAUAUCAGGAGGAAUACCAGUGGCGAAGGCGGCCAUCUGGCUCAUCACUGACGCUGAGGCACGAAAGCGUGGGGAGCGAACAGGAUUAGAUACCCUGGUAGUC